GGGGAAUUUUCCGCAAUGGGCGAGAGCCUGACGGAGCAAUACCGCGUGAGGGAGGAAGGCUUUUGGGUUGUAAACCUCUUUUCUUAGGGAAGAAGGUCUGACGGUACCUAAGGAAUCAGCAUCGGCUAACUCCGUGCCAGCAGCCGCGGUAAUACGGAGGAUGCAAGCGUUAUCCGGAAUGAUUGGGCGUAAAGCGUCCGUAGGUGGCUUAGUAAGUCUGUUGUUAAAGCGUCCAGCUUAACUGGAUAAGGGCGAUGGAAACUGUUGAGCUAGAGUGCGAUAGGGGUUAGAGGAAUUCCCAGUGUAGCGGUGAAAUGCGUAGAGAUUGGGAAGAACACCAGCGGCGAAAGCGUCUAACUGGGUCUGCACUGACACUGAGGGACGAAAGCUAGGGGAGCGAAAGGGAUUAGAUACCCCUGUAGUCCUAGCCGUAAACGAUGACAACUAGGUGUGGUUCGUAUCGACCCGAGCCGUGCCGUAGCCAACGCGUUAAGUUGUCCGCCUGGGGAGUACGCACGCAAGUGUGAAACUCAAAGGAAUUGACGGGGGCCCGCACAAGCGGUGGAGUAUGUGGUUUAAUUCGAUGCAACGCGAAGAACCUUACCAGGACUUGACAUGUGCAGGAUUCGAGUGAAAGCUUGAAGUGCCUUCGGGAGCUGCAACACAGGUGGUGCAUGGCUGUCGUCAGCUCGUGUCGUGAGAUGUUGGGUUAAGUCCCGCAACGAGCGCAACCCACGUUUUUAGUUGCCAUCAUUGAGUUGGGCACUCUAGAGAGACUGCCGGUGACAAACCGGAGGAAGGUGUGGAUGACGUCAAGUCAGCAUGCCCCAUACGUUCUGGGCUACACACGUACUACAAUGCAACGGACAAAGGGCAGCUAGCCAGCGAUGGUAUGCAAAUCUCAUAAACCGUUGCUCAGUUCAGAUUGCAGGCUGCAACUCGCCUCAUGAAGGCGGAAUCGCUAGUAAUCGCAGGUCAGCAUACUGCGGUGAAUACGUUCCCGGGCCUUGUACACACCGCCCGUCACACCAUGGAAGUUGGUCACGCCCGAAGUCGUUAUUCCAACCGUUCGCGGAGGGAGAUGCCGAAGGUGGGGCUGAUGACUGGGGUGAAGUCGUAACAAGGUAGCCGUACCGGAAGGUGUGGCUGGAUCACCUCCU
Molecule: ribosomal RNA, 1160 nt
Filed under: Tapinothrix clintonii GSE-PSE06-07G
Lineage: Bacteria; Bacillati; Cyanobacteriota; Cyanophyceae; Leptolyngbyales; Heteroleibleiniaceae
Also listed under: 2 other names
Description: 16S ribosomal RNA
Rfam family: Bacterial small subunit ribosomal RNA
Source: RNAcentral